Molecule: ribosomal RNA, 430 nt
Filed under: uncultured bacterium
Lineage: Bacteria
Description: bacterial SSU rRNA
Rfam family: Bacterial small subunit ribosomal RNA
Source: RNAcentral
UGGGGAAUAUUGGACAAUGGGGGGAACCCUGAUCCAGCCAUGCCGCGUGUGUGAAGAAGGCCUUUUGGUUGUAAAGCACUUUAAGUGGGGAGGAGGCUCUCUUGGUUAAUACCUAAGAAGAGUGGACGUUACCCACAGAAUAAGCACCGGCUAACUCUGUGCCAGCAGCCGCGGUAAUACAGAGGGUGCGAGCGUUAAUCGGAUUUACUGGGCGUAAAGCGCGCGUAGGUGGUUAAUUAAGUCAAAUGUGAAAUCCCCGAGCUUAACUUGGGAAUUGCAUUCGAUACUGGUUAGCUAGAGUAUGGGAGAGGAUGGUAGAAUUCCAGGUGUAGCGGUGAAAUGCGUAGAGAUCUGGAGGAAUACCGAUGGCGAAGGCAGCCAUCUGGCCUAAUACUGACACUGAGGUGCGAAAGCAUGGGGAGCAAACAGG